RNAcentral lists this long non-coding RNA (232 nucleotides) under Capsicum annuum. RNAcentral's name for it is "long non-coding RNA (CANN_LNC021788)". Lineage: Eukaryota; Viridiplantae; Streptophyta; Magnoliopsida; Solanales; Solanaceae. The record is from RNAcentral.
GAGUUGAAUAGAGGUUAUUUAAGGAAGCUUGUUACGUUGAGAUGAAUCUGAAUCUGCGGCAAAAAGAUAAGGGUACUUGGUCCGCAUAUCUGCUUCUGCUUCCCAAGUAGCUCCCUCAACAGAUUGAUUUCGCCAAAGGACUUUGACCAAAGGAAUUUCUUUGUUCCUCAGUCUACAAAUCUGAUGGUCUAAAAUCUAGACUGGAAUUUCUUCAUAGAAAAGGUUUUUUUGA